This 201-nucleotide long non-coding RNA is filed under the name Lathyrus oleraceus (garden pea). Its description in RNAcentral is "Pisum sativum (pea) long non-coding RNA (PSAT_LNC017868)". Lineage: Eukaryota; Viridiplantae; Streptophyta; Magnoliopsida; Fabales; Fabaceae. The record is from RNAcentral.
GAAAAUUGAAAGGAGAAGAUGGCGACUACACAAAAAAUAUAGUCUACAAACAAAUUCUUUUAUCGCACCCGCGGGUAUUUAUUAAGUACAUUGAAAAAAUUGCUCACACGUUGAUUCUCAUUUUGGUUACACGACAUACCAAGCUUAUAUUGUAUUAUUUAUAUCAUAGAUAGAUAAUAACUAAAUAUAAUUUUCUUUUGC